This 497-nucleotide ribosomal RNA is filed under the name uncultured bacterium. RNAcentral describes it as "partial 16S ribosomal RNA". It matches the Rfam family "Bacterial small subunit ribosomal RNA", at positions 28 to 507 of the family's 1533-position model. The record is from RNAcentral.
GACGAACGCUGGCGGCGUGCCUAAUACAUGCAAGUUGAGCGCUGAAGGUUGGUACUUGUACCAACUGGAUGAGCAGCGAACGGGUGAGUAACGCGUGGGGAAUCUGCCUUUGAGCGGGGGACAACAUUUGGAAACGAAUGCUAAUACCGCAUAAAAACUUUAAACACAAGUUUUAAGUUUGAAAGAUGCAAUUGCAUCACUCAAAGAUGAUCCCGCGUUGUAUUAGCUAGUUGGUGAGGUAAAGGCUCACCAAGGCGAUGAUACAUAGCCGACCUGAGAGGGUGAUCGGCCACAUUGGGACGGAGACACGGCCCAAACGCCUACGGGAGGCAGCAGGAGGGAAUCUUCGGCAAUGGACGAAAGUCUGACCGAGCAACGCCGCGUGAGUGAAGAAGGUUUUCGGAUCGUAAAACUCUGUUGGUAGAGAAGAACGUUGGUGAGAGUGGAAAGCUCAUCAAGUGACGGUAACUACCCAGAAAGGGACGGCUAACUACGUG